UACGUAGGGUGCGAGCGUUAAUCGGAAUUACUGGGCGUAAAGCGUGCGCAGGCGGUUCGUUGUGUCGGUGGUGAAAGCCCCGGGCUUAACCUGGGAAUGGCCAUGGAAACUGGCGAACUGGAGUGUGGCAGAGGGGGGUGGAAUUCCGCGUGUAGCAGUGAAAUGCGUAGAGAUGCGGAGGAACACCGAUGGCGAAGGCAGCCCCCUGGGCUAGCACUGACGCUCAGGCACGAAAGCGUGGGGAGCAGACAGG
RNAcentral lists this ribosomal RNA (253 nucleotides) under uncultured bacterium. RNAcentral's name for it is "partial 16S ribosomal RNA". It matches the Rfam family "Bacterial small subunit ribosomal RNA", at positions 524 to 776 of the family's 1533-position model. The record is from RNAcentral.